RNAcentral lists this ribosomal RNA (497 nucleotides) under uncultured bacterium. Its description in RNAcentral is "partial 16S ribosomal RNA". It matches the Rfam family "Bacterial small subunit ribosomal RNA", at positions 28 to 507 of the family's 1533-position model. The record is from RNAcentral.
GAUGAACGCUGGCGGCGUGCCUAAUACAUGCAAGUCGAGCGAACGGACGAGAAGCUUGCUUCUCUGAUGUUAGCGGCGGACGGGUGAGUAACACGUGGAUAACCUACCUAUAAGACUGGGAUAACUUCGGGAAACCGGAGCUAAUACCGGAUAAUAUUUUGAACCGCAUGGUUCAAAAGUGAAAGACGGUCUUGCUGUCACUUAUAGAUGGAUCCGCGCUGCAUUAGCUAGUUGGUAAGGUAACGGCUUACCAAGGCAACGAUGCAUAGCCGACCUGAGAGGGUGAUCGGCCACACUGGAACUGAGACACGGUCCAGACUCCUACGGGAGGCAGCAGUAGGGAAUCUUCCGCAAUGGGCGAAAGCCUGACGGAGCAACGCCGCGUGAGUGAUGAAGGUCUUCGGAUCGUAAAACUCUGUUAUUAGGGAAGAACAUAUGUGUAAGUAAAUGUGCACAUCUUGACGGUACCUAAUCAGAAAGCAACGGCUAACUACGUG